CUGAUAAUUAUUUGGGGCCAUUUUUCAGCGGUGAACCUACCCAGUCUGUGGGUCCUGUUGACUAUAAUUUCCUGCGACUGCAGAUUUGUUUCGCAUAUUCCGAACAAGCGGUUCUCUAAUCACAAGUACGUCUGAUGUGGAAGGUUGUCUUUCAUACCAUAGAAAACGAGGUUGCACCUCAAAUUUUUUCAAGGUUGUACACUUUGGUCGCCAGGCGUUCCAGUUCUUCCAUAAUAUAGUCAAAACACCAAAAUAGAGACUCCACAACAAGGAAAUGGCACUCCUCCAAAUGUUGACCUUAUGGUCGUUCGCUGUCAUGCAAGCUGCUCAUCAGGAGCCCGCACAGGGCGGAGUAAACACACCAGAUCUCUCCGAGUACCAAAACGCUUGGCCGAUGAUUAGCUCCGAGAAAAUGAUUAACCUCGCCUACAUAUAUCUGGGGGGCACUAUUAACCAAUCAGUAUACUGCGUGCAAUCAGCUUAUUUCAAAUCAGACAGGGCAAAGCAAACAUCUGAAAGAACCCUCGAAUAUCUCAUAAUGGGCGAAAGCGCACCCAAGCUUUGGUCCUUGAAUGUUUCGUUGCGUAUACUUUCCCCCCUUGAGGCUAUAAAGGGGAAAAUUCUUCAAGCGACUCAAAGAA
Molecule: long non-coding RNA, 641 nt
Organism: Dermacentor silvarum
Lineage: Eukaryota; Metazoa; Arthropoda; Arachnida; Ixodida; Ixodidae
Exons: 5
Source: RefSeq, a predicted model, not a curated record